Molecule: ribosomal RNA, 301 nt
Filed under: uncultured bacterium
Lineage: Bacteria
Description: partial 16S ribosomal RNA
Rfam family: Bacterial small subunit ribosomal RNA
Source: RNAcentral
CAGUCGCCGCGGUAAUACGAGGGGGGCUAGCGUUGUUCGGAUUUACUGGGCGUAAAGGGCGCGUAGGCGGACUGAUAAGUCAGGGGUGAAAUCCCAAGGCUCAACCUCGGAACUGCCUUUGAUACUGUUUGUCUUGAGUUCGAGAGAGGUAAGUGGAACUGCGAGUGUAGAGGUGAAAUUCGUAGAUAUUGGGAGGAACACCGGCGGCGAAGGCGGCUUACUGGACGACAACUGACGUUGAGGCUCGAAGGCGUGGGUAGCAAACAGGAUUAGAUACCCCGGUAGUCCCUGUCUCUUAUAC